AGCUCGUCAACAACUCCGAAUCA
RNAcentral lists this small nuclear RNA (23 nucleotides) under Arabidopsis thaliana (thale cress). RNAcentral's name for it is "snRNA_11013". The record is from RNAcentral. Lineage: Eukaryota; Viridiplantae; Streptophyta; Magnoliopsida; Brassicales; Brassicaceae.